UUAUCAAGAGUCCACUUGUGGAUCGGUUAUUAGCUAUUGUGAAGUGAAAUACAGUGAAGACUAGGAAAUAAAGAGACACUUGAGCGACCCUUGGUUAUUGAUAAGAUUGUAAAGAAGGUUUAUAUUGUGUCUGGUUAUUUUGUUUGUUGUGGUUUUGUGUAAAAGUAUUUACCCAUUGAGAUGUGUUAUGGAGGUAGAAAGGUGUAGGAAGUACAGUCCAUUAAUAUUUCGAAUACGAGAGGAAAUGAUAUAGUGGAGACAGGAAAUGAUAUAGUGGAGACAUGUAACGUGUGGGAGAGUGUGUAUGAAGUAGUUGGUAUGUGC
This is a long non-coding RNA of Schistocerca americana (American grasshopper), 324 nucleotides long. RefSeq lists it as uncharacterized. The record is from RefSeq and is a predicted model, not a curated record. The transcript is spliced from 2 exons. Lineage: Eukaryota; Metazoa; Arthropoda; Insecta; Orthoptera; Acrididae.